RNAcentral lists this long non-coding RNA (237 nucleotides) under Malus domestica (apple). Its description in RNAcentral is "long non-coding RNA (MDOM_LNC013027)". Lineage: Eukaryota; Viridiplantae; Streptophyta; Magnoliopsida; Rosales; Rosaceae. The record is from RNAcentral.
GCCAUACUACAUCUCACCAAUCCAUACAUUUUCAUCUCUUAGCCGUGCAAAUCCAUUCCAUCCAUAUAUCCAUACACAUCCUAGACACUUGUGCUACAACAAGGUGGUGAAAACAAAGGUCCUUGACGUUUCAAGCUUGGAACUUUGGAGCGUUUUAGGUGUACUCCGUUCUUGCUUUCAAUGUCUACUUUUUAUUUUCUAAUUUUGUUGCAAUUAUGAGUGGCUAAACCCCUAUUU